AGGAAAGGACGAUCUACUCCCCAAGAGAAGAGUCGAGAAAAGAGACGUUUUAGAUGGAGAGGAGCGUUGGAAUCCAGAUCUUAAAGCUGAAAUAGUCAAGGAAAAACACGAUUCUGAUUAUGAAGUAUUUAUCAUAGGGGACAAUCUUUGGCAUCCGAAAUUCAAAAGUGUCAGAGGCAUAGAAAAAGGCGAUCCUGAUCCACAAGUAUCAAGAGGAGAUACGGAAACACAGGGAGCGAUACAUUGAGAUGGCUUGUCAUAUUGACAGCUAUGACCAGUUACUGUCAUCAGCUGAAAAUAAAAUCCUGUCAACAAUAUCGAAGCUUGUCAAUAUUUGUUUUAUAAUUGGAAGUCAUAAUCUUUCUCAAAAUGUUCAUAAACGCCAUCUUCAAAGAUUUCAAAAUUGA
This is a long non-coding RNA of Pecten maximus, 407 nucleotides long. RefSeq lists it as uncharacterized. The transcript is spliced from 4 exons. The record is from RefSeq and is a predicted model, not a curated record. Lineage: Eukaryota; Metazoa; Mollusca; Bivalvia; Pectinida; Pectinidae.